GUGUGUCUUCAGAUGGCUCUUUUGUCCAAAUCUUUUACCACACUCAGAACAGUGAAAUCUAGAUGUUUUUCUUCUUGCUUGCCUCUCCUUUUGUUGCUCUGAGUUGUUCAUGUGACCAGAUGCCUUUCCAUAUUUAGAGUCUUUAAACUGUUUCUCAUCAGUGUUGGCUGAAUGAAAAAUAUUGGCAUUUUUUUGACAGUUAAAAUGUGACUGAAGUUCUCUGGUCUGUUUCCAGUCAUAACUGUCAUCAGUCUCAG
This is a long non-coding RNA of Thalassophryne amazonica, 257 nucleotides long. RefSeq lists it as uncharacterized. NCBI's taxonomy places the organism in Eukaryota, Metazoa, Chordata, Actinopteri, Batrachoidiformes, Batrachoididae. The transcript has 2 exons. The record is from RefSeq and is a predicted model, not a curated record.